AUGUCAUCAUCGCAUGUGUGUGCGUUAUGCGGAGCAGAUGACAACUGGCGCCAUUCUCUUCUCGACUGUAACUACGCCCGAUGCGUGUGGGCUCUAUCAAAUGAGGAUAUGGUGCAGCAUAUGUGUAUGCAGAGAGACGAACAUGCAAAGAGAUGGCUCUUUCUGAUGAGCGAAUCGCUUCCUCAAAAGGAAUUCACUACCAUGAUUGUCACAUUAUGGGCGAUUUGGGCGGCAAGGAGAAAAAUAAUCCAGUCACCGGCAACUCCAAGGGCUCGCCCUAUUGUUUGGCAGCCACCACCGGAUGAUCAUGUUAAGAUUAAUGUCGAUGCGGCUGUGCCGCGUGCUGGUGGAAGGGGGGCUGUGAGAGCCGUUUGCCGCGAUGCAUCGGGUGUGUAUUUGGGGGCCUCGGCAGUUGUUUUCAACAACAUAGAGGACCCGAAGGUGCUUGAAGUUCUAGCUACCAGGGAAGUGCUGGCGCUUGCCGAGGAUUUGUACGAGCAGAAAGUUUUCAUCGCCUCGGAUUGCGUGGCAGUGGUGGAGGCGAUCAAAGGAGGAACGGCAUCAGCAUAUGGAGCAGUGGUACAUGAAAUAACGGACAGAGCUCGUUUUUUCUCUUCGUGUUCUUUUAGUCAUGAAUUUAGAUCCUCGAACUUUGAGGCUCACAACCUCGCGAAGCAUGCAUUAAUGUUGGGGACCGGCCGCCAUGUCUGGUUAGGCCACCCCGGCGAUCUUUUGUUCGUCCCUGUAAACAUUGUGACGGUUGAAUAA
This 768-nucleotide ribosomal RNA is filed under the name Triticum aestivum (bread wheat). Its description in RNAcentral is "partial small subunit ribosomal RNA". The record is from RNAcentral. Lineage: Eukaryota; Viridiplantae; Streptophyta; Magnoliopsida; Poales; Poaceae.